This 468-nucleotide ribosomal RNA is filed under the name uncultured bacterium. RNAcentral describes it as "partial 16S ribosomal RNA". It matches the Rfam family "Bacterial small subunit ribosomal RNA", at positions 28 to 507 of the family's 1533-position model. The record is from RNAcentral.
GACGAACGUUGGCGGCGUGCUUAACACAUGCAAGUCGAACGGAAAGGCCCUGCUUUUGUGGGGUGCUCGAGUGGCGAACGGGUGAGUAACACGUGAGUAACCUGCCCUUGACUUUGGGAUAACUUCAGGAAACUGGGGCUAAUACCGGAUAGGAGCUCCUGCUGCAUGGUGGGGGUUGGAAAGUUUCGGCGGUUGGGGAUGGACUCGCGGCUUAUCAGCUUGUUGGUGGGGUAGUGGCUUACCAAGGCUUUGACGGGUAGCCGGCCUGAGAGGGUGACCGGCCACAUUGGGACUGAGAUACGGCCCAGACUCCUACGGGAGGCAGCAGUGGGGAAUAUUGCACAAUGGGCGGAAGCCUGAUGCAGCAACGCCGCGUGCGGGAUGACGGCCUUCGGGUUGUAAACCGCUUUCGCCAGUGACGAAGCGUGAGUGACGGUAAUGGGUAAAGAAGCACCGGCUAACUACGUG